CACCAGUAACAUUUAGCAACAUGUAGUGACAAUCCAGUAAAGCAAAAAAGCAACUGGUAUACCGAUCAAACCACACUAUAUUAAUACCAAACCGAUAUGCGGUAUGGAGGGCAUACCAAUGCUUGGUAUACCGAACCAAGUACCAUACCAAGCAUACCUACAUUAUAAAAGAAUGGUACUAGUAAGGGGUCCGAUAUCGAGAUGCUGAACCUUGGUUCUCUUAGUAUGUAAAAUCUAUGCUCCUUGAUGAGAGUUGAACCCUCAACCACCAAACCCUUCCAUGGCUUUCUAAACAUGAAGCGAAGUUCUCCCUUAAAGAACUCUCAGCUUUCUAUACAGCAUAACUUGUACUCAUUUGACCUAUAUUGCCCUCAAAAGACAAGGUUAAGUUCUUUAAAGAUUAGACAACUUGAACAACUUUUUGAAUACAAGGCUAAAUUCUCCUUUGCUGAAGUCUUCCAUGGCUGCUUAAGAAACCUUGAAAAGCUUUACUAGUUCAAACAACAGUCUAGAUCCUCUACAAUGCCUAAGCCUUCUAGCCUUAGUGUAGAUGCUAACUAAAACAAACAAAAGUUCACAAAUCAUAAUCCAUGUAAUUCAAUGCUGACUCAACAAAGCCAUAUAGAACUCAUUAGCUUAAAAGAUUACGUAUUGAUCAUGCAAGUCAAAAAAGAUUAGUAUAAGCAUGCAGCCCUCAAAAUGAACAGUGCCAAUGUGGAUUCUUGUAAGUCCAAUUUGACUAAUUUAGAGCCCUCAAAACACAAUGAAUCCAAAUGUGUGCCUCAUAUAGCCAAACUAUCUUUCUGAACUAAGAAGCCCAAUAAGUUGCCAAAUGAGCUCGCAACUAAAGAGCUCCAUAAGCCAAGCCAAAAGUGUGUCCCUAGGCCCAACAUAUAUAAUUUAUUUCUCAUAAGUCUGAUAUAGACNNNNNNNNNNNNNNNNNNNNAAAAAAGAGUGAAAUGACUGAUUCUGCUUACUGUUAUACUUGUUAUGGACAAAAACAAGAGUGACAUAACUAAUUCUGCUAAAUAUUGUCCUCUAAAACUGGUUAGAUUAAGAAUAGACAUCAAAAGACUAAUUUUUCAAAGUAAACUCUGAAGAGAAGGAUAAGGUACACCAAUUAUUUUAUUAACUCAUCAAGUUGCAGAUCACAAAUUAUCACAUUUUCAAAGUUUACAGCACUUUAGGGUUUAGAUGGUUCUCAUAUACUAGUCGAUUAUAGGAUCCACACCAUAUUUGGUUUCUUUAAAGGUCCUAACCUUUUGUCUGUAUUAAAUUAUGAAUACAAGGUGUUGUAUACAUUGUUCUUUAAGAGAUGGAUGCGCUAAUUAGGUUCUCAAGCAUUACUAACCUCAAGUUUGUUUGAUGCCUAGUUUUUAAGUCCUUGCUUCUUUAGUGAUCCAAAUAAUAUUUGGAACCCUGAGAAAUACUGACCUUAAGCCUAUGUCUUAUUUAGGCAUAAGCACACAUAUAUAUUUGUAUCUUGAUAACAUUUAUGUUCCAAAUCAAGUUCGCUGAACUAUCUCGAAUUGGACAGUUCAAGACAUUCCGAGCCAUACUUGUGGCAAAUCGGGACGGUUCGUCCGAGCAAAUCAAAACACCAGACAAAGAAGAGGAAAAGAGAAGAAGGGAGAGUGAGCAGAGGGGAGAGAAAGAUGGGACGAUGCCGUCGGGGGCCGACGUUGGCCCGUCGAGGCCGCCAAAGGGCCAUGAAGGCCUCUGUGGCUCGAUAUCAAUCGAUAGGAUAUUUAAUCAAAAGAGACAGA
This 1766-nucleotide long non-coding RNA is filed under the name Elaeis guineensis (African oil palm). Its description in RNAcentral is "long non-coding RNA (EGUI_LNC043848)". Lineage: Eukaryota; Viridiplantae; Streptophyta; Magnoliopsida; Arecales; Arecaceae. The record is from RNAcentral.